Molecule: non-coding RNA, 98 nt
Filed under: Bacteroidota bacterium
Lineage: Bacteria; Pseudomonadati; Bacteroidota
Description: Bacteroidetes bacterium TPP sequence
Rfam family: TPP riboswitch aptamer (THI element)
About the family: Vitamin B(1) in its active form thiamin pyrophosphate (TPP) is an essential coenzyme that is synthesised by coupling of pyrimidine and thiazole moieties in bacteria. The previously detected thiamin-regulatory element, thi box was extended, resulting in a new, highly conserved RNA secondary structure, the THI element, which is widely distributed in eubacteria and also occurs in some archaea.
Source: RNAcentral
GCCUCAUCACAGGGGUGCAUCCGUUUUGCGGAUUGCUGAGAUCAUACCCAAAACCUGAUCAGGGUAAUGCCUGCGUAGGGAAAGGUAAAACUUUUUUU